This 482-nucleotide ribosomal RNA is filed under the name uncultured bacterium. Its description in RNAcentral is "partial 16S ribosomal RNA". It matches the Rfam family "Bacterial small subunit ribosomal RNA", at positions 30 to 507 of the family's 1533-position model. The record is from RNAcentral.
AUUGAACGCUGGCGGCAUGCCUUACACAUGCGAGUCGAACGGUAACGGGCCUUCGGGUGCCGACGAGUGGCGAACGGGUGAGUAAUACAUCGGAACGUGCCCGAUCGUGGGGGAUAACGAGGCGAAAGCUUUGCUAAUACCGCAUACGAUCUACGGAUGAAAGCAGGGGACCGCAAGGCCUUGCGCGGACGGAGCGGCCGAUGGCAGAUUAGGUAGUUGGUGGGAUAAAAGCUUACCAAGCCGACGAUCUGUAGCUGGUCUGAGAGGAUGAUCAGCCACACUGGGACUGAGACACGGCCCAGACUCCUACGGGAGGCAGCAGUGGGGAAUUUUGGACAAUGGGCGCAAGCCUGAUCCAGCCAUGCCGCGUGCAGGAUGAAGGCCUUCGGGCUGUAAACUGCUUUUGUACGGAACGAAAAGCCUUCUUUUAAUACAGGAGGGUCAUGACGGUACCGUAAGAAUAAGCACCGGCUAACUACGUG